UGGUGGAGUGAUUUGUCUGGUUAAUUCCGUUAACGAACGAGACCUCAGCCUACUAAAUAGUGUUUGCUUUUUCACGAAAGCAAUCAACUUCUUAGAGGGACAUUUCGGUUUUACCGGAAGGAAGUUUGAGGCAAUAACA
Molecule: ribosomal RNA, 139 nt
Filed under: uncultured eukaryote
Lineage: Eukaryota
Description: partial 18S ribosomal RNA
Rfam family: Eukaryotic small subunit ribosomal RNA
Source: RNAcentral